Meleagris gallopavo (turkey) is the source of this 1502-nucleotide non-coding RNA. NCBI's taxonomy places the organism in Eukaryota, Metazoa, Chordata, Aves, Galliformes, Phasianidae. The record is from RefSeq and is a predicted model, not a curated record.
UCCAGUGACUUUCAGUCCCAUUGUCCCACAGGUAUGGGCAGCUGAGCGGCAUGGUGGAGCCCCUGGCUGGCAUCCUAGGAGCCUUUGCUGUGGUGAUGGCAGAGCCUCUCCUCCCCUAUGCCUUGAGCUUUGCUGCUGGAGCCAUGGUCUACGUGGUGAUGGAUGAUAUCAUCCCAGAGGCACAGACCAGUGGCAAUGGGAAGCUGGCUUCCUGGACCUCAAUACUUGGAUUCGUGGUGAUGAUGUCCUUGGAUGUUGGCCUCGGGUAGGCAGCUCACUGCUCCCCAGGAGAAGACUUCACAGCAAUUCCCAUGGUGGCAUUUGGAACUGGACACGUGUUACGCUUUAGACUUUUUCGGUAUAUAUAUUUUUUUGAUCUGGUUGGUGUUAAUUUCCUAUAAUUUUAUAUAUCUCUUCCUCAUAACAUCAAGUCGAUGGUUUUCAAAGCACAAAUACGGAUGGUUCCUUGCAGGUCCUGGUUUCCUUUCGCCACCAGAUUUUUUUUCUCCAAGGUUACUGCGAGACGUGCUGGCCAGGCUGCAGAUUUUGCUGCAGUUCUGGGGUGGUUUCUCUGAUUCAGGUCUCUCUUGGUUUUGAUCAUCCUUGUAGAAGAUUAGAAAUUCACUGUCGCGUGCUUAAGCUGGUCUGAGGUUAAGGACCAAAGUAUUUGAAUGCAGUAAACUGCUUAAGAGUCUCAAUUUCCACUCCAGGCUUUGAAUGGUGGAGGUGGAGGUGUUAGGACUGGGAUGACACGCUGAGGGCAGCAGGUCUGGUGGAUCCUGCAGUGCUAGGAGUGUGUCACAGUGUUUGUUGGUUGUUUGAGAAGGCAAUGUGUGUUCAUCCACGUUGCUGCUACAUGAUCGUUGUAUGGCACAGUGCAUUUCCACCUGGGCUCAUGGCUGUGCCCAGCACUACCAAGCAGCUGCCAUUCUCCAGCUGCUGUGUUGGGUUGUUUGUCACUCUGAACAUGGUGCCAUGUUACCUUGAGCCAGGAUCAGCUCUUGUCCUGCUGAGCAGCAUUGGGAUGAAAUAACUCAUCAGUGUGCGUUAAUUAUCCACCCAUGCACCAGGUUUAUCUGCCUCUUCACCCUCUUCCUUUCAAGCAUCUCCUGUCCAACAACCACAGGGUGGUUGAACACAUGCUUAAGUGGGGAGCAGAAUGCAGUUGUGGGGAAGUCCACACUCUAGGGCUGCUCUGUUUUUCAGGAAGACUAAUAAGGCUAAUGAGGCCCUCCAGCAGGAGUAACUGGAUGGCCUGGCAGCAUCUCAGCUGUACCUGCACCCAACAGGGCUGCAGAAAGGCAGCAGGGGGAUGGGUUGAGUGAGCUAAGAGAGAGCCACGCACUUUUGUUUGGUUUGUUAUUUUGGUUGGAUUCCAUUUGUACUUCAUUUGUAUGUCACUAUGGAUGAUACAAAACUACUGUUUGCCAAUGGAUUUGACCUUUUAACUGUGAUUGGUUUCAAUAAAUGGGAAAUUCAGCGUUUGCACUGAUUUAUUUUAA